Molecule: ribosomal RNA, 390 nt
Filed under: uncultured bacterium
Lineage: Bacteria
Description: bacterial SSU rRNA
Rfam family: Bacterial small subunit ribosomal RNA
Source: RNAcentral
GACGAACGCUGGCGGCGUGCUUAACACAUGCAAGUCGAGCGGUAAGGCCCUUUCGGGGUACACGAGCGGCGAACGGGUGAGUAACACGUGGGUGACCUGCCCUCAGCUCUGGGAUAAGCCUGGGAAACCGGGUCUAAUACUGGAUAUGACUCCAUGACGCAUGUUGUGGGGUGGAAAGCCUUGUGCGGCUGAGGAUGGGCCCGCGGCCUAUCAGCUUGUUGGUGGGGUGANGGCCUACCAAGGCGACGACGGGUAGCCGGCCUGAGAGGGCGACCGGCCACACUGGGACUGAGACACGGCCCAGACUCCUACGGGAGGCAGCAGUGGGGAAUCUUGCGCAAUGGGCGAAAGCCUGACGCAGCGACGCCGCGUGAGGGAUGACGGCCUGGU